GAUGAACGCUAGCUACAGGCUUAACACAUGCAAGUCGAGGGGCAGCAUGACGAUAGCUUGCUAUUGUUGAUGGCGACCGGCGCACGGGUGAGUAACGCGUAUCCAACCUGACCUUGUCCACCGGAUAACCCGUCGAAAGGCGGACUAACACGGUAUGCAGUCCACAGCAGGCAUCUAAAGUGGACGCAAUGUGUAGGAGAAGGAUGGGUAUGCGUCUGAUUAGCUUGUUGGCGGGGUAACGGCCCACCAAGGCGACGAUCAGUAGGGGUUCUGAGAGGAAGGUCCCCCACAUUGGAACUGAGACACGGUCCAAACUCCUACGGGAGGCAGCAGUGAGGAAUAUUGGUCAAUGGGCGAGAGCCUGAACCAGCCAAGUAGCGUGCAGGAAGACGGCCCUAUGGGUUGUAAACUGCUUUUAUACGGGGAUAAAGUGAGUCACGUGUGGCUUAUUGCAGGUACCGUAUGAAUAAGGACCGGCUAAUUCCGUGCCAGCCGCCGCAGUAA
Molecule: ribosomal RNA, 504 nt
Filed under: uncultured bacterium
Lineage: Bacteria
Description: partial 16S ribosomal RNA
Rfam family: Bacterial small subunit ribosomal RNA
Source: RNAcentral